CUGAUACACUGUUCAUCAGAGGCAUGGGGAAAGAGCUUUAUCAAAUCAUCAUCAUGUUAAUGUAGUCGCUAAGGACCACAGAUACUGACAGAAAUUACAUUCCCUCCCCAGCGCUCGCCAUCGCUCUCAUGAUCAUUAACACAUGCUGAUGAGACUCACACUAAACCCUCAUCCCUCUCUCCAUCCCUCCGUGUCUCUCUGCUGUGGUUCUCUCGUUAGGGCUGGGCGUUAUGACCAGAGGCUUGUGUCACGCUAUAACCGAUAAACUGAUUCACAGCACAUUUCAACGCAACUUCUCACAUCUGAAGUUUUAGUAAGGACUUGAGAACAGCUGGUGAAACCCAACUCUGAAUCAUCUGAAGCACCAGCAGAGAUCUGCACCUCAGCGUCGGAUCUCACUGAUGCUCAUCAGUCUGAACAGGAUCAAGAUCUGCUGGAAGAUCUUCCCAGAAGAGUGAAGCUGUUCUAGCAGAAUGAAAGAUUGAACAUGAGUGAGGUCAGACGCUGACCGACGCUGGUCCAGUUCUCUAGAUUAGACCAUCGCUGGGUGCUUGCCUUAAGUCAUCAUAGAAAUCCUUCAGCAGGAGCUCAUCUAGUUUUAGGUGGGUUCUUGUGCUUUCAGACAGAUGAGGUUCUCUUUCAAGGGAACUUCAAACUGUGUCCUCUAGGGGUCGCUAUGGGGAACUCUUCGUCAUGACCCAUGUCUGAAGCAUACAUUGAAAAAACAUCGAGUUGGCCGGUGACAGCCUCUGAUGUCACUACCGGCGCGACUAUAAACAGGCACCGGGAGAACACGUCAUUCUCUUCUUCGUCUUCACUGACUGUUCUGUUUGAAGCAUGCAUCUGAAAGAACUUGUAAGCGCUAUCUUUCUCUGUCUAUCAUGGCGACGACUAGCAAGAGUUUAGACAAUGUGUGCAUCCGUGUCGCCGUUAUUUGGCACCUGAUGAUACACACAAUCUUUAUGUAAUUUGUUUGGG
Carassius carassius (crucian carp) is the source of this 978-nucleotide long non-coding RNA. RefSeq lists it as uncharacterized. NCBI's taxonomy places the organism in Eukaryota, Metazoa, Chordata, Actinopteri, Cypriniformes, Cyprinidae. The record is from RefSeq and is a predicted model, not a curated record. The transcript is spliced from 3 exons.